This 546-nucleotide ribosomal RNA is filed under the name uncultured Glomeromycotina. RNAcentral describes it as "SSU rRNA". It matches the Rfam family "Eukaryotic small subunit ribosomal RNA", at positions 548 to 1098 of the family's 1831-position model. The record is from RNAcentral. Lineage: Eukaryota; Fungi; Glomeromycota.
UUGGAGGGCAGUCUGGUGCAGCAGCGCGGUAAUUCCAGCUCCAUAGCGUAUAUUAGGUUGUUGCAGUUAAAAAGCUCGUAGUUGAAUUUCGGGAUUCAUCCGUUGGUCGGGCUUCACGGUCCGUACUGGUGUGAUGGGUUCCUACCUUCUGAAUAACCGGCAUGCCAUUAAUUUGGUGCGCCGGGGAAGCAGAACUAUUACCUUGAAAAAAUUAGAGUGCUUAAAGCAGGCAAGUGCCUGAAUAGGUUAGCAUGGAAUAAUAAAAUAGGACGGCAUGGUUCUAUUUUGUUGGUUUCUAGGAUCACCGUAAUGAUUAAUAGGGAUAGUUGGGGGCAUUAGUAUUCAAUUGUCAGAGGUGAAAUUCUUGGAUUUAUUGAAGACUAACUUCUGCGAAAGCAUUUGCCAAGGAUGUUUUCAUUAAUCAAGAACGAAAGUUAGGGGAUCGAAGACGAUCAGAUACCGUCGUAGUCUUAACCAUAAACUAUGCCGACUAGGGAUCGGACGAUGUUAAUUUUUUAAUGACUCGUUCGGCGCCUUACGGGAAAC